GAUCAUGGCUCAGAAUCAACCGCUGGCGNUAUGCCUAACACAUGCAAGUCGAACGAGAAAGUGAAGCUUGCUUCACGAGUACAGUGGCAGACGGGUGGGUAACACGUGAACAACCUGCCCUUGAGUGGGGAAUAACACCGCGAAAGCGGUGCUAAAGCCGCAUAACAUCUUCGGAUCGCAUGAUCUGAAGAUCAAAGGCGAAAGCUGCUUGAGGAGGGGUUCGCGCCUGAUUAGCUUGUUGGUGAGGUAACGGCUCACCAAGGCUUCGAUCAGUAGCCGGCCUGAGAGGGUGAACGGCCACACUGGAACUGAGACACGGUCCAGACUCCUACGGGAGGCAGCAGUGGGGAAUUUUGCGCAAUGGGCGAAAGCCUGACGCAGCAACGCCGCGUGGAGGAUGAAGGCCCUCGGGUCGUAAACUCCUGUCAGAGGGGACGAAAGCUUCGGUUUGACUGUACCCUCUAAGGAAGCCACGGCUAACUCCGUGCCAGCAGCCGCGGUAAU
This 504-nucleotide ribosomal RNA is filed under the name uncultured bacterium. Its description in RNAcentral is "bacterial SSU rRNA". It matches the Rfam family "Bacterial small subunit ribosomal RNA", at positions 15 to 524 of the family's 1533-position model. The record is from RNAcentral.